This 507-nucleotide ribosomal RNA is filed under the name Triticum aestivum (bread wheat). Its description in RNAcentral is "partial small subunit ribosomal RNA". The record is from RNAcentral. Lineage: Eukaryota; Viridiplantae; Streptophyta; Magnoliopsida; Poales; Poaceae.
AUGGGUGAUUUUAGUGAGAUCUUAUACAACUUUGAGAAGCAAGGUGGGGUGGCCAGAACACAAGUCUUUAUGAAUUGUUUUCAUGAUGCUUUGAACUUUUGUAAUUUGAAUGACCUCGGAUUUGAGGGUGACAUUUUUACCUGGCGCAAUAAUAAUUUUCGUGUUGAUGGGUAUAUUCGGGAAAGAUUAGAUAGAGCUGUUGCAAAUGCUGAAUGGUGUGCUCGUUUCCCCGGGUAUAAAGUGGUAAAUGGUUGCCCUGAACAUUCUGACCAUCGGCCCGUUAUUUUGCAUGUCAAUGGAGCGUCCAAGAGACCCAGGCCGAAACCAAAUAAUCUGAAUAAACGUUUUGAGGCACGUUGGCUAUUAGAGGAUGAUUGUGGAAGCAUUGUGAUGGAUGCUUGGCAAAAGGCUGGUGACCGAGGAGAGAACACAGUUGCACAACUUAUUAAGGCUGUGUCACAGAAGCUUGAUGCCUGGAGCAGAGAGGUCCUUGGGGAUCUGCAAUAA